RNAcentral lists this ribosomal RNA (459 nucleotides) under uncultured bacterium. RNAcentral's name for it is "partial 16S ribosomal RNA". It matches the Rfam family "Bacterial small subunit ribosomal RNA", at positions 338 to 795 of the family's 1533-position model. The record is from RNAcentral.
CCUACGGGUGGCAGCAGUGAGGAAUAUUGGUCAAUGGGCGCGAGCCUGAACCAGCCAAGUCGCGUGAGGGAAGACGGUCCUAUGGAUUGUAAACCUCUUUUGUCGGGGAGCAAAAGACGCCACGCGUGGCGUUCCGAGAGUACCCGAAGAAAAAGCAUCGGCUAAAUCCGUGCCAGCAGCCGCGGUAAUACGGAGGAUGCGGGGGUUAUCCGGUUUUAUUGGGUUUAAAGGGUGCGCAGGGGGAAGAUCAAGUCAGAGGUAAAAUUGAGGGGCUAAACCGCUUAGAGCCGUUGAAACUGGUGUUCUUGAGUGAGUGAGAAGUAUGCGGAAUGCGUGGUGUAGCGGUGAAAUGCAUAGAUAUCACGCAGAACUCCGAUUGCGAAGGCAGCAUACCGGCGCUCAACUGACGCUCAUGCACGAAAGUGUGGGUAUCGAACAGGAUUAGAUACCCCAGUAGUC